GUUGCAUGCCUCAUUUGGUACACAUUUCCAUUCCAAAGGCUGUUGUUCUGCUCAUUGUUUGUACUUAAGGAAUGUUCCAGAAUAGUGUGAAGAAUUGGAGAUGUGCUGAAACUGUGCACCCAUAAAAUCUGCUUGGUUUUCACGACUAUCUCCCUCAGUAAUUACCAAAGGUAAUGGGUUUGACUGCUGGUCUUUUAUUCUAUUAACUUUAUUUCAUACAUUUCACUUGUCUGUGUAAGAGUUUAUACCAGAGAUAUUAUUGCCAACUUUCUCUCCUAGCCUGUUGACACAUCCUUUACAUGCUUUAAAUUAAUUAAGUUUUCCACAGUUGGAGAAUCAUAAAGGAGUCCCCACACUUUGUUUUGCUGCUUGCAUGCUUUCUUAUAUUCUUCUUUCAACAUUGAAACUCGUCGUUUGGUGCCACUCCUCUUAUUUGUGGAAUGCAUAUGGAUAUAAUAAAGAAAGCUGUGAAGUAUGCAACAUCAUCAUCUACGCUUAGGGUGCAGAUGUCAUCCCGCAACAAAUGCACAAGUUCUUGGAAGAACUUCCAGUUGGCCGAUUAGACUUUCCAUCGACGAAAAUGUGGCGAGCAUUUAUCCUGUUUUGUUGUGUUCAGCACUAUAGGAAAGUGGUCGCUGCCAUAGGGAUCUUUAAUAACAUUCUACUGGAGGUACGUCAUAAGCGCUGGAGAUGCCAUGCUCAAAUCCAUGGAAGUGUACGUUUUGUAAGCAGUACUGUAUGUUGGUUCCUUGUUAUUUAGCAGGCACGCCCCAGUGGGAAGAAAAUUUUCAAUUAAUCGGCCUCUCGCAUCACAGCGAGAGUGCCCCUAAAGAGAGCUGUGAGCAUUUAAAUCUCCAAGGACGACAUAGGGUUCAGGCAGCUCAUCUACUAAGGCCUCAAAUUCUUGUUUGUGGAGCUGAUAAUGAGGGGGCAUGUAGAGAGAGCAGAAAGUAACGAGUUUAUUUAAAAGCACAGCUCGAACUGCGACUGCCUCAAGGGCAGUUUGGAGUUCUAAGCAUUGCGACACAAUACUUUUAUCAAGUACGAAUGCAACACUGCCAGACAAUGCAGUAGCCUUAUCGUGGCCUUUAUGAAAAAUAACAUAUUAGCGGAGAAAGUUUGUAUGCUUAGCUCUUAAGUGGGUUUCCUGUACACACAGCACCUUUGGACCGAAUUUGUGGAGUUCUUGACCAUCAUUGAGGUUGUGGAGGAGACUUCCAACCUUCCAUUGUAUGAGUGUGUCCAUAUUGAAAAUAAAAUUGGGCUAUGUAUGUCAAAAAAAAAAAAAAAAGUCAAUUUAUCCUACAGAGCCCUUUUGGGACCCUGUAAUUCGGUGCUUUUCUUUCUUUUUUUUUUUGAAUGGUUGAGUGAAUCGCACUGCUCCUUAGGCGCUGGCUGCGCCAUACGACUGGGUGUUAUGUCCAUUGCCUCUUGCGUGGAACGCUGGACAUACGCUCCUGCAAGUGGUGUGUUUGCUGUGACAGCCUUGCCUUAGACUGAGCUGCACUGGCUGCUACCAGCACUAGCUGAGGCCCCCACAGUAGGAGCAGCCUUGGCUGCUCUUACCGUAGGGGCAGGUGGUGGUGCCACAUCCUCGUUGCGCAUGACGUGGGUGAACGCCAAGUGCCGUUGUGGUGCUGCCCCCUGAUGCACCACUUAGGCGAAUGAUGUACUCUGCAAAUGUUGGUUAGAUACAAUGUCACGCUUCUCUGAAAGUUAUGUGUUAUUUUACUCUUAUCAUGAUUAUUUCUUUCUUUCUUCCAGACUAUGCAGGGUGGCCAUCAUUGCAACUGAUGCAAUGUGGCUCAGCAUCACAGUCGUGAGCAGAAUGCUCUUUAAUGCUGCAUUUGCGCAAAAAUGAUGGGUGAAAAACACAAUUUCACAGGAGAGAGUAAUAUGGCACUAUAAGAAUGGGAGCAAAGAGCAUUUCAUACCUCACUCAGCCGAUCUGUGAGUAUGGCUACUAUUUCAUCUCUAGAAUAGGGUGCAAAAUGAAGCAAUGUUGGUUGACAGCCAUAGGCUUGCAGGUGUGGCAGGACACGAUCUGUGAGAUCCAAGGCAUUUGCAAUUCCUGGGCACACAAGCAGAACCUCAUCAGUAACGUUCCAGAGAAAACAAGAUUGAUAUCUGUAUACAAGACCGACAGAAAAGCCUUCGCAGCACAGCGUGCAGAUUUUCGCACGGGAAGCUGAAGAACGGACUGGGUGGAAGGCAUGCCGGCAGACUGCGAUCGUCA
Molecule: non-coding RNA, 2236 nt
Organism: Dermacentor andersoni
Lineage: Eukaryota; Metazoa; Arthropoda; Arachnida; Ixodida; Ixodidae
Source: RefSeq, a predicted model, not a curated record